Pleuronectes platessa (European plaice) is the source of this 645-nucleotide long non-coding RNA. RefSeq lists it as uncharacterized. NCBI's taxonomy places the organism in Eukaryota, Metazoa, Chordata, Actinopteri, Pleuronectiformes, Pleuronectidae. The transcript is spliced from 4 exons. The record is from RefSeq and is a predicted model, not a curated record.
UCUGUCUGCUGCAGACAUGAGAGGAUCGUGCUAAGUUUGUUCCGUACGAGUGACUCUGUUUUCGGGAUAAAUAACUUGCUGAAGUCGACACAACACUGUUUCCCUGGAGGACAAGACGAGUGCGUGGGAAAGCAAAGCCGCGGGCCCGGUGUGGAGGAGUCGAGGCGGAGAAGACAGGCGCACAGUCCCUGAAUUAAGCCUGAUUCCCGCACACAAUGAUGCAGUCACUGCACAUUACGCCGAGACUCGCUGAAAGUCCACAUUUGCAGUGCGGGAAAACGACGCCAUUGUACCUGCCUAUACUAUGACUUACUAAGACCCACUAUGAGCCGGUAUGAAGGAGCUUCCAGUUCAUCCAUACGGACCUUGCAUCAGCAUUGAGGAGUUCAGGAGUCGGCAGAGAAGAAAGAGGCUGAUUGAAGCGGGACAGAUGACAUGGUUCCAUCCUUCCACAGCCAGGAGCUCACCGACCUGUGUGCCACACUUCAAAUAAGACUAGAGGCUACACUGGAUCUCACAGCUACACACCACAGACGUCUACACACUGGGGCAGAUACGGACAAAGAACAUAUGACCCAGAGGCUGCAAAGAGACAUUUCAAGCUUCACCUGAAUUUUUUCACUGGCUAGGCUAGUUGUGUUUGUA